CCCUGCCCGCACGCGCGUUCGGAAAGACCACCGCUCACCAUCCCAAAAGCCUAUCACCGUGAUUCCGUGAAGACCGAAUUCUCCGCUGCCUCCUCGGAUCGGUUCGUGGGCCUCCAUGCCGAAGCGAUCGAUGAUUCGAUCGAUCGCUUGGCCAUCCCCUCCCACCGCAUCUUCCUCCCUCGCCUGCACGGGCACUCAAGAAAACAACCCACCGAGCCGUACGAUAGAUUCCUCCCGCAUCGUCUGCCAGCCGCCGCCGUGCUCUAGGGCGAGUCCAUCCGCCCUCGUGAGCGCUUCCCCUUGCCGUCGACUGCCCGUCGUCGCGCUCCUUCUCCAGUGCGCCGCAUCGCCCGCGACCACGCCAUCGCAAGCACCCACCGUCGACCGCUGUGCGCCUGCCGCCGAGCCCCUCUCCUAUCCAGCCACCCGUCCACCUCUGCUCCCCGUCUCCCUGCUGCAGCGCACCCUCCUGCCCCUGCCGUUCCUCCCUUCGCCUGCUGCUGGCCCGAACCCCCUCUGGUCCAUCUCCAGCCCAGCCGCCCCUAGCUCUGCUGCUGCUGCUGCUCUGUAGGUGGUCUCUGUACUUAUCUGCACACUGCACCAAAGGUGUUUGACAAAAUGUAUCGCCAGGAUUGGCAUCCACAGCCUUGGGUUAAAGCGAAGGCAAACUUGAACAAGCUCAUGGGCAGCAUUAUCAGACAUGUUGUCGGGGGAUCAACACGAGUGGAGUGGUAUACUGGCUCGAGACUGCAAUCAAGAUCAGCAAGCUCGAGCCAAGGAGAUAUUGACAAGCUAGGCAUGCCGGUGACGCCAAGGAGACCCUGCAGGAGUGCGUCUCCGAGUUCAUCUCCUUCGUGACCAGCGAGUGAGUUGGUCGGCUCGGUAGCGUCACCCUUGGCUUCCUUGUCUCAGCUGGGUUGGUUUUGGUUCGGAUUUUGAUGUGUGAUUUUGCUGUUGUCUGGGUGUUGGUGUAGGGCGAGUGGCAAGUGACAGAAGGAUAUGUACUUAGUAGGAGCCAUGAGUUUUAUUGAACGCGACUAAUAGAAGAAUUGGAGGUUUGUUCAGCUGGCCAGAGCAGAAAAACAUAAUUAGUCUUCUAAAACAACAAUGUGGAUGAAGUGCAUGUGUAUUAGCCUCCUAAUCAUUUCUUUUAUUUGUUCAUUGCGUCAAGGAGAGUUUUGUUUUCUGUAGUCAUACAACUGUGUUUUCGUUGUAUUUUGUAUGAAUCAUCCUCACUCAUUGUGUACUAUUAUUUUUCAUUAGAGAAGGUUUUGAGUUUUCUCUUCUAUUUCAUUUCCCGUAGAAAUGCAUGUAGUGCUGGCGGAAGGAGAUGGGGCUGAGUCAAUAUAAAGGGAGAAAGAAAGAUGUUAUGAAGUAGAAUGACAAUGAAGUGAAUCGAUGUUGGAGAAAGAUAGGGAAUAGAGUGCUAUUGUGAACCAAACUGUAAGGAUGUUGCGAGUCUUCUAAUUGUUGUAACAUGCCUUCUUAAUGUAUGUUUUUUCUCCAUUGCAAUGCACGGUACCCACCCGUGUCAUUCACAAGAAUUGUCAUUAGGUUGACUGUUUU
Molecule: long non-coding RNA, 1566 nt
Organism: Brachypodium distachyon (stiff brome)
Lineage: Eukaryota; Viridiplantae; Streptophyta; Magnoliopsida; Poales; Poaceae
Exons: 3
Source: RefSeq, a predicted model, not a curated record